This 253-nucleotide ribosomal RNA is filed under the name uncultured bacterium. RNAcentral describes it as "partial 16S ribosomal RNA". It matches the Rfam family "Bacterial small subunit ribosomal RNA", at positions 524 to 776 of the family's 1533-position model. The record is from RNAcentral.
AACGUAGGAGGCAAGCGUUAUCCGGAGUUACUGGGCGUAAAGCGUGUGUAGGUGGUUCGCCAAGUUCGGUGUGAAAGCCCCUGGCUCAACCGGGGGAGGACAUUGAAGACUGGCGGGCUGGAGGGUGGUAGAGGGGCGUAGAAUUCCGGGUGUAGCGGUGAAAUGUGUAGAGAUCCGGAGGAAUACCAGUGGUGCAGACGGCGCCCUGGGCCACACCUGACACUGAGACACGAAAGCGUGGGGAGCGAACGGG